RNAcentral lists this long non-coding RNA (351 nucleotides) under Physcomitrium patens. RNAcentral's name for it is "long non-coding RNA (PPAT_LNC008956)". The record is from RNAcentral. Lineage: Eukaryota; Viridiplantae; Streptophyta; Bryopsida; Funariales; Funariaceae.
ACGUGAAUUCCACCUUAGCGUUUAAUAUACGUUCUUCCAACACCCCUUUCAAAUUUGUUGCCGCUUCAAUGUCAGAAAGUAGCUUAUAGGCAAUUGAUUUGCCCUUAUCUUUUUUCUUCGUUGUUUUUUCUCCCAAUGAUGAUGAGGUAUCCUUUACAAGCAAUUCUUGUGAAGCUGCCUCCCGAGCCUUGUCUCCUCGAGUUUGCCUCUUAAAAGAAUUUCCUUCUCUAGUAUCAUCAAAAUUUCCUUGUCUCUUUUCUUCCAUCAAAGCUUUAUGUUGUCUCUUAGCAAUAUAUGCAUGAACUGAAAGAGACUCAACAGGAUCCUCCCAACCUGUUCUACCUCGUAUUG